GACGAACGCUGGCGGCGUGCUUAACACAUGCAAGUCGAACGCUGAAGCCCGCUUCGGUGGGUGGAUGAGUGGCGAACGGGUGAGUAACACGUGGACACUCUGCCCUGCACUGCGGGAUAAGCCUUGGAAACGGGGUCUAAUACCCGAUAGGACAUUGCAUCGCAUGGUGUGGUGUGCAAAGCGGUUAAUGCGGUGCGGGAUGAGUCAGCGGCCUAUCAGCUUGUGGGUGGGGUGAUGGCCUACCAAGGCGACGACGGGUAGCCGGCCUGAGAGGGUGACCGGCCACACGGGGACUGAGACCCGGCCCAGACUCCUACGGGAGGCAGCAGUGGGGAACCUUGCGCAAUGGGCGGAAGCCUGACGCAGCAACGCCGCGUGGGGGAUGACGGCCUUCGGGUUGUAAACCUCUUUCGGCAUCGACGAAGGCUCUCGUGUUCGGGGGUUGACGGUAGGUGCAGAAGAAGCACCGGCUAACUACGUGCCAGCCGCCGCCGUAA
Molecule: ribosomal RNA, 497 nt
Filed under: uncultured bacterium
Lineage: Bacteria
Description: partial 16S ribosomal RNA
Rfam family: Bacterial small subunit ribosomal RNA
Source: RNAcentral